CACGUAGGCACCAAGCGUUGUCCGGAUUUAUUGGGCGUAAAGAGCUCGUAGGCGGUUCGAUAAGUCGGGUGUGAAAACUUUGGGCUCAACCCAAAGCGUGCAUUCGAUACUGUUGUGACUAGAGUUCGGUAGGGGAGUGGGGAAUUCCUAGUGUAGCGGUGAAAUGCGCAGGUAUUAGGAGGAACACCGGUGGCGAAGGCGCCACUCUGGGCCGAAACUGACGCUGAGGAGCGAAAGCGUGGGGAGCGAACAGG
This 254-nucleotide ribosomal RNA is filed under the name uncultured bacterium. RNAcentral's name for it is "partial 16S ribosomal RNA". It matches the Rfam family "Bacterial small subunit ribosomal RNA", at positions 524 to 776 of the family's 1533-position model. The record is from RNAcentral.